CGGGGUGUAGCGCAGCCUUGGUAGCGCAUCUGCUUUGGGAGCAGAGGGUCGCAGGUUCAAAUCCUGUCACCCCGAC
This 76-nucleotide transfer RNA is filed under the name Demequina litorisediminis. RNAcentral describes it as "tRNA-Pro". It matches the Rfam family "tRNA". From Rfam's summary of the family: Transfer RNA (tRNA) molecules are approximately 80 nucleotides in length. Their secondary structure includes four short double-helical elements and three loops (D, anti-codon, and T loops). Further hydrogen bonds mediate the characteristic L-shaped molecular structure. tRNAs have two regions of fundamental functional importance: the anti-codon, which is responsible for specific mRNA codon recognition, and the 3' end, to which the tRNAs corresponding amino acid is attached (by aminoacyl-tRNA synthetases). tRNAs cope with the degeneracy of the genetic code in two manners: having more than one tRNA (with a specific anti-codon) for a particular amino acid; and 'wobble' base-pairing, i.e. permitting non-standard base-pairing at the 3rd anti-codon position. The record is from RNAcentral. Lineage: Bacteria; Bacillati; Actinomycetota; Actinomycetes; Micrococcales; Demequinaceae.